Non-coding RNA from Equus caballus (horse), 1291 nucleotides. The record is from RefSeq and is a predicted model, not a curated record. NCBI's taxonomy places the organism in Eukaryota, Metazoa, Chordata, Mammalia, Perissodactyla, Equidae.
AACACUUUGAAGUGCUCUAUCUGCACUUGUCUGGCACCUUUGGACUGGCAUAUGGCACCCCAUUUGCAUAAUGUGCUGUAAACAACAUACUUAAUGAUUAGCGCAUGACAUGCCUAAUUAUGUCUUAAUUAUGUUUAGUCCUUUAGUGCUAUAUAUUUGAUUAAAAAAGGAGAAUUGACUUUCAAACUUCUGGAAAUAAUGACACAACUAGAAUCGAUAUAGAAUAAUCUUUCUUCCCCUUUUUAUGUUCCCAGAGACUUGAGGUUUAACAGAAUAAGAGAAAUUCCUGAGAGCGCCUUCAAGGAACUCAAGAAUUUGAACACUCUGUACCUGUACAAGAAUGAUAUUCGUGCACUAGAUAAGCAAACGUUUAAAGGACUCAUAUCCUUGGAACAGCUAUACUUUGAAAACCCCAAAAUUCUGACUGGAACAGAAGAAUAUAUGGGUAAAACUUCUUUUGCUUACUCAUUGUAUGAAAGUCCUACAUUAGAUCAAUUUUGGGUUUAUCCAGAUUGUCAAUGCCGUUCAUCUAGAGACUACCAGGAAUACACCUAUAGUUACACAAGUUGAGUUUAUCGCUCUUUGCAGUGAAGGAGAACACAUGCCAUGGGGAGUCACAGGGAGUAUCAAUAAAAAGAUGUUAGAAAGAACAUUUUAUAGAACUUGGACUUUGGGUGGGUGAUUUCAAGGGGGAUAAGAAAGCAAAUAUUUGCUUUAAAUUGGAUGUCAGAAAGAGUGCACAAGUCUAUGACUGUGUAUCUUAAUAAAUCUUAUAUACAGUGAGGAGAGAAUAGAAUGAGGAUAAAGCUGUACUUGGUAAGGACAUAGCGUUCACUCAAUUUGGCCAAAAGAAGAGGGUGUUUAGUAUUUGUGGGUGGCACAGUAACCUUGUAUUUGUCUGUGCUUAAAAAAAAAUUAUGAAAUAGCCUUGUUUUGUCCCAUUUUAUCAAGGUCUCAGGGUAACCUUGUCUAAGCUUGAAUUCUGUGAGAUUAUGUUCAGUAGGAGAAUACCACGGCCUACCCGUGAGUGCCAGGCCAGCUUCUGAAUGUCAGGGAUGCUUUUAUUUUCACUUCCUUUCUCAAGAUAAAUUACAGCCCAAAAUAUACAUCAUUAUGGUGGUAAAGAUACUUCAUUUGGGACUUUAUUUAAAAAUCCUUCCAUCAUGAUGACUACUAACUUAUUCUCAGUACGAAAAGCAUCUGUGAUGUACAGUCAUGCACUGCAUAACAACAUUUUGGUCAAUUAUGGACUGCAUAUAUAAUUGUGGUUCCAUAAGAUUAGUACCAUAUA